AUUGAACGCUGGCGGCAGGCCUAACACAUGCAAGUCGAGCGGAGAGGCGGAAGGGUGAGGAAUGCCUAGGAAUCUGCGUGGUAGUGGGGGAUAACGUCCGGAAACGGGCGCUAAUACCGCAUACUAGCAGAUGAGCCUAGGUCGGAGUGGCUAGUUGGUGGGGUAAAGGCCUACCAAGGCGACGAUCCGUAACUGGUCUGAGAGGAUGAUCAGUGCCACUGGAACUGAUGCACGGUCCAGACUCCUCCGGGAGGCAGCAGUGUGGAAUAUUGGACAAUGGGCGAAAGCCUGAUCCAGCCAUGCCGCUUGUGUGAAGAAGGUCUUCGGAUUGUAAAGCACUUUAAGUUGGGAGGCGUUACCAACAGAAUAAGCACCGGCUAACUACGUGCCAGCAGCCGCGGUAAUAC
This 407-nucleotide ribosomal RNA is filed under the name uncultured bacterium. RNAcentral describes it as "partial 16S ribosomal RNA". It matches the Rfam family "Bacterial small subunit ribosomal RNA", at positions 30 to 526 of the family's 1533-position model. The record is from RNAcentral.